This is a long non-coding RNA of Gorilla gorilla gorilla (western lowland gorilla), 977 nucleotides long. RefSeq lists it as uncharacterized. The record is from RefSeq and is a predicted model, not a curated record. Lineage: Eukaryota; Metazoa; Chordata; Mammalia; Primates; Hominidae. The transcript is spliced from 7 exons.
GGCAGUUGGUGUAUCUAUUAAAGGAUGAAUUAAAGACAAACAUGACUUGGAUGUUAGGGUAGCACACUGCUCCAGAGAGUAGUUCAACUCUUAUCCCUACUGGAAUCACUUGUUUACAGUACAGAGUAGCGAUCACUCACCCCACCCUCUAGAGUAAAGGUGGCAUGCAAUAGUGAAGCUGUGAAGACUGGUGGAACCACAAAUAGAAGGGUCCUAAGUCCCAGAAUUACCAUGGAAGAAAGUCUCCUGCAAAUUGGAUAUACCAAGGGGAUGAACUCUUCCAUCAUCUCAUAAAAAUAUCAGGCCUUGAAGCAACAUAAAGAGAGAAAACAUGCAAGGCAAUGUGUCUCCCGUCUCUGAUUUAUUCAUCUCAACUGGAUAUGAGGUAGUUGGAAUUGAAGGCAUCUGACAAAUGUGAGACAAACACGAGUGAUUGAGAUUGAAGAAAGACUGGAGUAGUUACUGUGGAGAAUGCAAAAGGAUGGUUAUUCAAGGUACAGGGACCCAGCUUCUCCUUGAUGGCAGGAUUGAUCAUCACAACCCUUUUCUGACAGUUGACCUAGGAGCACAGGAGGCAAAGAAUAAUUGACAGAAGGCAUAGAAUUACAACCUUGACAGCCAACACUAUCUACAGAAGAAGGAGAAACAGGUUGUUCUGUAUUUUUUUUCAACGUAUUAGCUGUCCAAGGGAAAAAGAUAGAAGCAGAGCCAUGAUAAGCAAAUGACAAAAUUUAAAAAUAUAUAUUUAUAGUAACAAGGUCUAAAUUGGGAGAAUAUCUGGUUUUCCAAAAUGAAUACAAGGGACUCUAGAAAAAUAAUGAAAAACAUUCAACAAUAACGGUCAGCUGAUGGUAAUUGAAAAUAUAUUAUACACAGGAUGUGAAAUCUUCAUGUAUGGACGAUCGGCUUUUUGUAUACACAGAUUUAGCAGGUCAGACUGUGGGAUUUGAGUAAGCAUGGAGUUUGGUAUAUGUGGG